AACGAACGCUGGCGGCGUGCCUAACACAUGCAAGUCGAACGUGAAAGUCCUUCGGGAUGAGUAAAGUGGCGCACGGGUGAGUAACACGUAGGUGACCUGCCGUUUAGAGGGGGAUAACCAGAAGAAAUUUUGGCUAAUACCGCAUACGAAGCACAAAUCUUAGAGUAGUGCUUGAAGGAAUGCCUCUGUAUAUGCAUUUACUAAACGAUGGGCCUGCGGUGCAUUAGCUAGUUGGUGGGGUAAUGGCCUACCAAGGCGACGAUGCAUAUCCGGUCUGGGAGGAUGAUCGGACACACUGGAACUGAGACACGGUCCAGACUCCUACGGGAGGCAGCAGUGGGGAAUAUUGCGCAAUGGAGGAAACUCUGACGCAGCAACGCCGCGUGAGUGAGGAAGGACUUCGGUCUGUAAAGCUCUGUUAAUGUGGAAAAAUGCUUACUGGUCUAAUAGGCCGGUAAGUUGAUGGUACACAUAGAGGAAGCACCGGCUAACUUCGUGCCAGCAGCCGCAGUAA
Molecule: ribosomal RNA, 514 nt
Filed under: uncultured bacterium
Lineage: Bacteria
Description: partial 16S ribosomal RNA
Rfam family: Bacterial small subunit ribosomal RNA
Source: RNAcentral